RNAcentral lists this unclassified non-coding RNA (2619 nucleotides) under Hevea brasiliensis (rubber tree). The record is from RNAcentral. Lineage: Eukaryota; Viridiplantae; Streptophyta; Magnoliopsida; Malpighiales; Euphorbiaceae.
UUGGCAUAUUAUUGAGAUGUUGCAACAACAGGAUGCUUUACGUCAAGGGAUUACUCUGGCCAGAGUUGUCUUUCAUGAAAUAACUGAGGAAUCCAUAAAACAUGCCUUGCAAGCUCCUAGAGAAAUUGAUUUGAACUUGGUUCAUGCUUACCUUGCACGGCGUGCUCUUGAUUAUUUAAUUGGCUUCAACAUUUCACCAUUGUUAUGGAGGAAAUUACCAGGUUGCCAGUCAGCUGGACGUGUCCAAUCUGCUGCAUUGUCUCUUAUAUGUGACAGGGAAAUGGAAAUUGAUGAAUUUAAGCCACAAGAGUACUGGACUAUUGAAGUUGAAUUAUACAAAAACAAUCCCGGUUCUUUGGUGAAUACUCACCUGACCCAUUUUGACUCCAAUAAGUUGAAUCAGCUUUCAAUUAGCUCACAUACAGGGGCAAAGGAUAUUGAACUGAAGAUAAAGGAUGCACUUUUUCAAGUUGCUGGUGUUAAAGAAAGCAAAAUGAGGAGAAAUCCUCCCACACCUUAUAUAACGUCAACACUUCAGCAAGAUGCAGCAAACAAAUUACAUUUUCCUUCAAUGUAUACAAUGAAGCUUGCGCAAAAACUUUAUGAAGGGAUUCAGUUAUCAGAUGGGAAGGCAACGGGUUUGAUAACAUACAUCAGAACAGAUGGACUGCAUAUUUCGGAUGAAGCAGUCAAGGGAAUACGUUCCUUAGUGAUUGAAAGGUACGGCCAAGAUUUUGCAUCUGGGGGCCCACUCAGAUAUUUUAAGAAGGUGAAGAAUGCUCAAGAGGCCCAUGAAGCAAUUAGACCAACCAAUAUUUGGAUGUUACCAUCAAUGCUUGUUGAUGUACUUGAUGAAGAUUCCUUGAAGUUGUACACUCUUAUUUGGUCUCGAACAGUGGCAUGCCAAAUGGAACCUGUUACUAUCAACCAGAUCCAAAUUGACUUUGGGAAUGCUGAUAUGUCAAUCGCUCUGAGAUCUUCAUGCUCAGAAAUUGGGUUUCUUGGAUACCAGGCAGUUUAUGAGGAUAUUGAGGCUAGAGCAGUAAGAUACAAGGAAAAUGAGGUGCCUGAUCGUCAGGAAGCCUUUGCAAGUCUCAAGUCACUUAAGCCAGGGGAUCAUUUGAAUCUUGGUGAAGUAAAAAUCAAGCAGCACUUUACCCAGCCUCCACCUCGCUACUCUGAAGGAUCAUUGGUAAAGAAGCUGGAGGAACUUGGCAUUGGAAGACCUUCAACAUAUGCAAGCACUUUGAAAGUGUUGCAGGAUAGGAAAUAUGUGACAGUGAAAAGCCGUGUGCUGUAUCCAGAAUUUCGUGGUCGUAUGGUGUCAGCAUUUCUCUCUCACCACUUUACUGAGGUCACAGACUACAGCUUUACUGCUGAUAUGGAAACUGAGCUUGAUAAUGUUUCUGCUGGCUUAACCGAAUGGAAAGGCCUUCUCAGAGACUAUUGGACACGAUUUAGCUCAUACUGCAAUCGUGCUGAAAGCAUCCAUAUUCAUCAGGUGGAGAAGAUGCUAGAGAAAACAUUUGGUGAUUUUUUGUUUGGUUUGCUACCUAAUAACAGCAAGGCAUGCCCUAGUUGUCUGGAGGGCACUUUGAUCUUCAAAGUAAGUAGGUAUGGUGCUGGCUAUUUCGUAGGUUGUGAUCAACACCCAAAGUGCAAGUAUAUUGCUAAGACUUUAUAUGGUGAAGAAGAAGAAGAAGAAGAAGAAACUCCUCAAAACAAGUCUGUGGAGGAACCAAAGUUGCUUGGUGUUCAUCCAGUAUCUAAUGAAAAGGUUCUCUUGAAGAAUGGUCCAUAUGGAUUCUAUGUACAGCUUGGUGAAGACAGGAAGGGUUUCACACCAAAAAGAGCCUCUGUUUCUCAUAUAAAGGAUGUGGAUGGUAUUACAUUGGAGGAUGCUCUGGGGUUACUGCGUUAUCCUGUGACAUUGGGUAACCAUCCAAAGGAUGGGCAUCCUGUGAUAUUAAAGCAUGCAAAGGUUGGAUUUUCUGUUAGACAUCGACGGACAAUUGCUUCAGUUCCCAAGAAUAUGAAGCCAGAUGAUGUGACCUUGGAGAAGGCAUUGGAGCUUUUAUCAGGUGCUAAUGUCAGGCACCUCGGUCGACCUAAGAGGAAAACAAAGGUUGAGGAAAUCGUGGAGGCUGUGUAGCCUUGGCAAAUGGCAAUUACAAGCCGGCUGUUCUGAUGUACAGUCACUUGUUCAAGGCAACUUUUCAACAACACAAAUCAUGUGCUUGCCAAGAUGCAUCUCAUCUCCCGCAUGGGUGUCAAGGGAUUCGAUUAAUGGAGAGAGUUGUUCUGAAUGAUGACAACCAAUUGUUAUAAUGUCAUCUACUAACCCUUUUGUUUGUUAUCAUAUUCUUUUGGGGUCAUAUUCACAGGGGAUCGCAUUAGUUAUUUGAGGUAAACGUGAAUUUCGAGUGUUGUAUUUGAUUCUUCGGACAAUGCAUUCAGAUGGAAUCUUCAUUGCAACUAUUCUUUUGGUUUAAACUACCUGGACAUUGUAAUAACAUAGUGGUGAAAAUGGGGAAAAGUUGCUGCAGUCGAAACCAGCAAUUUUGAAAUUUCGGUUUUCUUUGUAAGAUUCCUGGUUAUGGAAGUCUUUAAAUUUACGGC